RNAcentral lists this ribosomal RNA (751 nucleotides) under uncultured bacterium. Its description in RNAcentral is "bacterial SSU rRNA". It matches the Rfam family "Bacterial small subunit ribosomal RNA", at positions 28 to 774 of the family's 1533-position model. The record is from RNAcentral.
GAUGAACGCUAGCGGCAGGCCUAAUACAUGCAAGUCGAACGGUAAAUCCCCUUUCGGGGGGAUGAGAGUGGCGGACGGGUGCGCAACGCGUAUGCAACCCACCCCCGACGGGCGCACAGCCGGUGGAAACGCCGGGUAAUGCGCCAUGCGACCCGCGCGGGGCAUCCCGUGCGGGCCAAAGCGGCGACGCGGUCGGGGACGGGCAUGCGUCCCAUUAGAUGGUAGGCGGGGUGACGGCCCACCUAGUCGACGAUGGGUAGGGGAUCUGAGAGGACGGUCCCCCACACUGGUACUGAGACACGGACCAGACUCCUGCGGGAGGCAGCAGUAAGGGAUAUUGGGCAAUGGGGGUAACCCUGACCCAGCCAUGCCGCGUGAGGGAAUGAGGCCCUACGGGUCGUGAACCUCUUUUAUUCGGGGACAAGGACGGCGUCGCGAACGCUGUUUGAGGGUACCGAAGGAAUAAGCGUCGGCUAACUCCGUGCCAGCAGCCGCGGUAAUACGGAGGACGCGAGCGUUAUCCGGAUUCAUUGGGUUUAAAGGGUGCGCAGGCGGCUCGGCAAGUCAGCGGUGAAAGCCCGGGGCCCAACCCCGGAAGUGCCGUUGAUACUGUCGGGCUGGAAUGCGGUCGAGGCGGGCGGAACGUGGCGUGUAGCGGUGAAAUGCGUAGAUAUGCCACAGAACGCCGAUAGCGGAGGCAGCUCGCCAGGCCUGCAUUGACGCUCGGGCACGAAAGCGUGGGGAUCGAACA